GAAUUGUGUCACUCCCAUUGAGCAGGUGUGGGGGCCUCUCCCACAUGGUCCAGGUCCACCACUCUGUCAAAGGUCGCACAGCCCAGACAAAAACAGCACACAGCAGUGUGUGAAUGAGCCGGGCUUUCUCCUUCCCUCCACGUAAUAAAAGGUGCCUGAGGUUGUUGAAACACAGUCCAUUUCUCCUGGGAAUGACAAGAAUUUGAGGGAUGCUGACUUUCAAGGAAUACUGCAUGACAGGCAUCAAGAUAAACCUGAUGAAGAAAACAUAGGCCAGAAUCUCGGAAUCGGGAGCAAAGUAAUACAGCUUCGGGGACAGGCACGUAAUGAGGUCAUGAUGUAGCAGACUCCCUGCAGGACUGGCGGCCCCUGUUCCCUGGGCUGUUCUGGCUCUUUCAGGACUGCACAGUGUAUCUGAGAGAGGAUUUUCAGGAGGCCAGAAAAUCAAGCUGGAGGGAUUCUCAGCGUGUUGGGCGAUUGCUACCUGUUUUGAGUCAGACCAUUGCCACGUCCUUUUCCCCACCUUGGAGACUUCAGCCAGACUAAUCUUCCUUAGAAAUUACUUUCAUCUGUCUCCUUGCUCAAGCAUUUCCGAAAGCUCAGUGCACUGCACUACGUCAGCCUCUGUGUCCUCCAGGAUCUGAUCCUGCUAUUCUGGAGAACAAACUCCUCCCACCAUCCAAGUGCCCCUCAGCUGUUUUCCUUCACUAAUAUUUCCAAAACACACGACAACAGUUGGCAUCGCUCGCAUAUAAACAGCUCUUCCAUGUCACUGAGAAAACGAGCAAGAUCCAGGGAGGAAAAAUGGAUACAGGAUAUAAAUAGAAAAUCCUCAAAACAGGAAUUUCAAAAUGUCAACAAACAGGCAAAACUUUCUUUCAACAGCACUAUUAUGACUGAGAAAUAGACCUAGAACACAGCCUCAGAUAAUUCUCACGGUGGGAGGUUUCAAAGAUGAUGAAAAACAUCAUGAUACCAGACACAACACCUCAAGGAAGAAGGCACAGUGAGUGAGACACAGCAGACACGACUGACUGCAGAACCAAUCCUGCACACUCUUAGACACUGGAAUUGUCUAAGCAUCAGAACGGACACGAUUGCUAAGAAUUCCUUCAGAUCUGCCCAUGGCGUGGAGCCACUUCUUCAACGUUCCAGAGCCUAAACCCUGCGAAUCAUGGGUUGCUGGCUGGCAGACGCUUCUCUUGAGAGUUGAUAGUGUCCUUGGGCCAACACUCAACCAAGGAGCCCUGCGGUGAGAUCACCUGUCACUCUAAGGAGAGAAACUGAUUCCUACAGAACAGAGCUGGGCUGCAGUGGCCUCAGGGCAAUAAUGUCACAGGCCUUUGAACGCAUUCAACAAAACUCCCAGUCUCUGGUUAACAAGCAAAUGCGCCUGAAAGAAUGGGACAGAUAAUGACAGGUGAAUGCCCCCCGACCUGUGUGGCCAAUGGCCCGGCAGGACUGGCAUUACUCCAAAAUUGUCAGAAAUGCAGGCUCUCAGGCCCCGCCCCACCACCCAAACCAGAAACCAUGUGGACAAGAUCUCCAGGUGAUUCAAAUGCACAAUAGGCCUGCAUGAGUAAUGCAUAUCAAGAAAUCUUCGCUUCUCUUAACUACCUAGGGGGACACCAAGGGAACCUCCUAGAAGAAGUCAUGGAUGGGAUGGGGCUGGAUGCCACCCCCUCAAAGGAGCACAGACCUGCUGGCCCCCCUCCCUCCCUCUGCAGCCCAAGCUCAUGAGCUGUGGGGAGUGGGAGCAGGGGGUCCCUCCCACAUCCUCAGGAAGAAGCCACCAUGUCAUUGGGAGCCUGUGUUACACAUCAGUGUGUGAGGAAAGAAUCUGGAAACAACUGACUAAGAGGAUGGCAUGAUCUCAGCUCACUACAACCUCUGCUUCCUGGGUUUGAGCGAUUCUCCUG
This 1919-nucleotide long non-coding RNA is filed under the name Pan troglodytes (chimpanzee). RNAcentral describes it as "long non-coding RNA NONPTRT001577". The record is from RNAcentral. Lineage: Eukaryota; Metazoa; Chordata; Mammalia; Primates; Hominidae.